GGAGAGGUGGCCGAGUGGUCGAAGGCGCUCCCCUGCUAAGGGAGUGUGCGCCAAAAGCGUACCGUGGGUUCGAAUCCCAUCCUCUCCG
Molecule: transfer RNA, 88 nt
Filed under: Maricaulis maris
Lineage: Bacteria; Pseudomonadati; Pseudomonadota; Alphaproteobacteria; Maricaulales; Maricaulaceae
Also listed under: 1 other name
Description: tRNA-Ser
Rfam family: tRNA
About the family: Transfer RNA (tRNA) molecules are approximately 80 nucleotides in length.
Source: RNAcentral